GCAGCAACAGCUUGCAGCUGUGGGAAACUGCGUACAUGGUCCAGCCAGCCUUGGGUGGAAGACAGACCACUCGGAAACAUUCUGCUCUGUAGUGCGAUUCUGUUUUCCGGCGUGAACAUAACCAAGGCAUUUCGUAUGUUUGCCAUGAUGAAGGUGCCAACACUGACUUUGUCGCAGUACUUCAGAACACAGAAACAGCACCUCUUUCCUGCCGUGAAUGAUGUCUUCCUGAGCAGACAAGCUGAGCUACUGGACCGGCUCCGCCCAGUGCCCCUGACCCUUGCGGGAGAUGGCAGAUGUGAUUCGCCAGGCCACACAGCCCUCUAUGGCACUUACACACUGCUUGAGACAGUUGCCAAUAGGA
Molecule: long non-coding RNA, 364 nt
Organism: Ornithodoros turicata
Lineage: Eukaryota; Metazoa; Arthropoda; Arachnida; Ixodida; Argasidae
Exons: 3
Source: RefSeq, a predicted model, not a curated record